Molecule: non-coding RNA, 5002 nt
Organism: Varroa destructor (honeybee mite)
Lineage: Eukaryota; Metazoa; Arthropoda; Arachnida; Mesostigmata; Varroidae
Source: RefSeq, a predicted model, not a curated record
ACAAGGUAUGAUUAUUUGUUAUUUAUGUGGAAAAAUAUAACAGUUAAAAUACGAAUGUCCAGAUAAUAGUUCACAUGGGGGCGCAUUUAUUCCAAACAACUCCAUAUGUUGUUUUAUGUUUAUCCAAUUAUUUCAAAUGCUUCUUUUAGACAGUACUAUAUAUAUACUUUUCUAAACAUUAGAUGCAUAGUGAGAAUAUAGCGUUAUUGAUUUAGGUUCUUACUCAUUUGAUAUCAAGUAUUUUUUAGCUUGUCUGCCUAGUAGGACUAGAAAUGGGCCAUCUCUUCUUGAAUAAAGGCCGUAGUUGAGGAUUUAUCUUUGUAUAAAGACUAUCAGCAUCGGUAAUCGGAACUUAACGUCGAACUAUAUCUUACAGAAGUAAGAUCAAUAGAUAGCGAUAGAUUAAUUCGCUUUAGUGCAUCACGUAUCUCGCGCCUUCCUCGACUUAACAGCUUGUUGAUAAUGCAGGCUUUCAAAGCCCAUAGAAGAGUUAGCAUAACUGGCUGUUGUCGUCUGUUUAGUUAGUAAGUUGCUUUGACACGCAUUUUUUCUUGCGCUUAAUUUUUUACACAAACAGUCCGUGGUCCUUACUUAGAACCUUAGACCUUAGAAACUUAGAAAACCUUAGAAUCGCAGCUACCGGCCCGGUAUAUCGUGGUUGCAGUAUAUCCUUGUCGAACUGUGUUGGCGCCAAGCGCUCAUGUGUGCCAGCUGAUAUGUGCAUACGUGAAACGUGACUGACUACAGCAGCCACGUUGGUUUGUAGCUUCAUUUAAGUACGUAGCUUUUCUGUCAUAUACGUCACACCUUGGACAGGCAUUAUCCAUUUGUUUCAUGUGGCAUUGGCGUCGUUUGCCACGAAAGUGUUCCAUUUCGAAACCGAUUCGAUUCCGCUUAGCGCGUGUAUGUACGAUUAUGCUCUGUUAGGGGGUACUGUAAGACGAGCACAGUGGAGUGGACUUUUUUUUGUUAGGUGUAGGUGUAUAUGCUAGCAUUUUGUUGGCAAGCCCUGCUUUCUUUGCCGCAGUUGAGCCAGUCCAUGAGACUGAUACAGCUCGACACGAAGAGUAAGUGAAAGUUUUUGUUCAUUUGUUGUUGUGGCCUCCAUGGCUAUACAGUCGUACGGCAAGGCUCUAGAAAUACAACAGGGUGAACCCUGUACUAUAGAGACUUGGAAUAUUAUAAUAGUUCCGAAAUGACGUGAUUCGAGGAAAAAUUCAAAUCAAUAUACUACUUCUAAAACAGUAUGUUCAUACCUACAUGCAGACUAGUUAUUCAUAUGUGAUGUUUAUGUACUUUAAUUACAGUUGGCGCAGACACGGGUAUAGUAGUUAAUGCAUAAUGCCUUGUACAUAAAUUUGAUGAUAGUACUGGUUGACGGUCCAAGCACUUCUGACUCUAUUGUUGUGUAGAACAUUCAUGAUUGCGCUUAAUCAUUCAACGAUGCAAAGACUCGAAUAAAGAGCAAAGUGAUGUCACUGCAACAGCCUGCACUAAAAGAUGAGUAAGACAGUUGUCAUCUUAGUAGAAGGAUGAGCCAUUGUGCUGAGCAGAUUUAAAGGAAACCUGUUUGGGUUUCCAUCAUCAGAACUCAGUUUCUAGUAGUAGUUUCUACAAUUUACCACUUUUCUCUUACAUUUACAACGCUGAAUUGUUUAACUCAACUAAUUAAUCCUGAUCUAGUGAGCAUUUCGACUGCUAUCUUGUACAGUGUUUUGGAGAGUCACUCAUGCCAAGCAGUGCCUUUAGCAUCUUGGCGAUUUUAAUAGGUGCAAUCUUGAAACAUUUAAAUUGUUUUGAUAUUUGGUUAUUAAGAUGUAUUUCUUGUUCAUAUACUACCACAGUUCUAAAUCUAAUCUACAACAAAUGUAUUAUAUAUACAAACCUUACGAUUCUUGAGAUAGCAAGAUGCAUAAUAUGUGAUUUCCUAAUCGUCUCAACAGUUUAUCGCAUGCGGGCAGUGUCGAUUUUAUUUUUUGACGCUUUAUGCUAUGCGAAGGAUGCCAUAAUCUUAACGACCGUAGAAACCAUGGAGAACAUGUACAAGCGCAGAUUCUCUCUUCUAAUUAUCCAGAAUUAUACGGGAUGUCGAUUGGCCAGAAUAUUUUCGACAUGAAUUUCUUUCGAGGGACAGUAACAAGGCCGCAUCUGUGGAAAGGGAAAGGAAUCGUGGUAUUACGUGCCACCAAGCAUAACGAACGGUUAUAUCGAAUAUUUCGAGCAAAUCAUCCUAGUUUCGAGGGCAUCGAAAUGCCUAGUGAGGUUUGUUUCAGCGACGACGAAGUUCGCCUGCCUCAACAUGAACGCCAAUACCUCAUUUCCGGAUACAAGGCCAGUCCUUUGUUUCGUGCUAGGGUCAGCCAUCUGGAACAACGUUUAGCGGUAAUAUUCAAGUUAGACGCUAUUACUCCUGGCAUACUUCGAGCUGCACAGAUUUUGCCUGAGUUAAACAGUCGCUAUAAAGCUACGAUCACGUACCGGUCUGCAUGCCAGAAAGACAAUUAUUUUAAUAUUCGGGCGAUAUUGUGGCAGUUAAACGUAGAGGUUGUCCUCUCUCCUGAGUCAAUCGACAAAUUUCGUGGAGAGCCGGGAUUUGCGUAUCUUGAAAGCACGCUUAAAGUUACCGGCCUGAUAAACCUCAGCUGGAACGAAACGGUUUUAGCUCAUACCGAGCAACGUAUGCCUAUUGGCGAUCUUCUUAAAUUCUACAACGUUCCCGGUCCGGACCCUAGCCAGCGAGCGAUUGUGGACGUUCAUUCAAAUCGCGAGGCUACUUCAUCUGAGGAAGAUGACGAUGACGAGCUACGAGAAAACGUCGGAAUAGCUAGUGGUCAUGCAAGAGCCGAGUCAAGAGAAUCAAGAUCAGAAAAAUCGUACUUCACAGAAAUCCGGUCCAGAUCCUCACUAGAUAUUAAGCCAAUACAUUUGCCGCCAACAGGUCGACCGUGUUGUUCGAUAGGAUCUAGACCUUCAUCCAAUCUAGCAGCUGAAACGCCGAAUUUUAUGGCUGUUGAACCUCACUGCCCCCAGACUUGUGAGAAGAACUCAAUGGGUCCAUGCCGCGCUUAUGAUGAAGCAACAACAGACGAUGAUGAUGAAGCAAUUUAUGAUGGUCUCAGAAACCUCAAUGAAGCCACUUACGCGCAGGUAUGGCACCGAGUGAAUUGUUCUUGCUGCCCUGUAAACAGGGAAGAGGUCCAGUCGUAUCAACCUCGCCGACGUCCAGUGCGACGACGAUCGGUGUCUCGACCUCGAGAACAUCAUCGACAUGGUACAGAUCCUGGCUCCCGAAACUGUUGCGAUUCAAACGAGCGGGAACGCGUUGUUCAGCAAACGAUAAUGCGUCAGCGAUCUCAUAGCGUCGGAAUGCCUGAGGAAGCACACUGUGACAGUAGACAUCGCAACACGCGUACGUACGAUCGCUGGAGUUGGGGAACACCCGAAAUGGCUACAUCUGCGCAUGGCGGCAUGAUGCCAGUUGCAAGUGACGCCGCCACUAUACCUUCCGGUACUGCAACUGCUGCGGUAGUACCAGCAGCUGCUAAUGCUGUAUGCUGUCACGGCGCACUUUAUACGCCAUGGCAGCACCAACCGCCAUUCUAUGGACUGGUAGGUGGUUUGCCAACUUGUGCUACGCCAAAUGGAACUUUUGUCCUACAGACGCCUCCAGUGAGCAAUUUCCCUAACGCUAUGGGCACCGACGACGCAAUGCAUCUCCACAUCUAUCAGGUCAAUGAGAGCUUACGUAAAUCAAAACGUUAUUGAGCUAGUCAUUGAGCUUAUGAGAAUGAAAUAACAGAAGCGACUCCGUAACAAGAUGACUGUUGGCAUCAUGGGACGAAAUUCUAGGUGCUUCAUCACAAAUAGGAGGAGUCAAAUAGUAAAAGCAUGUACAGCUGGCAAGUACAAGGAGCAUCGUAAAGAGUUCUGCUGCUUCAUGCACCUUAAUUGAAUGAUGAUUAGACGGGCAAUAAAUUUUGAACAACAGGGAAGCAACGGCUCCGAUCUUGAACUAGAUGCGCGGUUUGUCAUAAACCGAAUUAGCCUCAACCAUGAUAUAAUCGUUGAUUGCUGCUCAGGAUUGUGCACAGUUACACUAUUAGACUUUUGCCUGCAUUUUCUGUAACUGUGAAGUACGUACUAUGGGUGCCGUACUACCUGCGCCAAUUUUGCUUCGGCUCGUUGAAUCUAGGUCGGCUAUGCUUAUGCUCUUCGUCGCAAAGGUGACGGGGGAAGGACAAGGGCCAACGUGGAUGGCCUGUGGCUUAAACUUGACCCAAACCUACUGACCGCUAUAACAUGGGCCACAGCCUAUACAGCAAAAUCUCGCCAAUAGCUGAGUGAGCAUUCCGGACAAUAUCCCGUUGCACUGAAGAGUGGACAACGCUGUGCCUAUAAACAAAGCAAUGCCACACUACGGUCAACUCAGCUAGCCUAUGCGAAAAAGGAUCUGAGAGGUGUACGGGAGAGAUGCUGUUAUAUUAAUAUAUCAGACUAAGCCGAGGACGGAGGGAUCGAGGUCUAACUUAAUUAGGUCGCUUUCGGAGCUGUAUAAGCGACAGUGUGCUAAGUAGGUACACUCAAAUGCGCGGGAAAUCUCUUCACUGGCUUUUCAUUAUAGUUCGACCCUUAGCCAACGUAGGCAACGUAUUCUGGCCUAGGUAAAAUUCCCUAAAAGUGUUCACUGAACAGCAGCGUCAUAUUAUUGCCUUCGGUAGCUAAUCCCGUUUUCGAAGAAGAAAUAAAGAACCAACGAUAACCAGCACAGACUGCAAUAAGUAGAUGAAAUAGUAGUUUGCUUAGAGAGGCAACGGUACGAGUUUUUAAAGUUAAGAACUACCUUAAGAUAUAAUUAGGCUUAUUUGAAAGAAGAUCACAGGCAGGUAGCUUAAUUUUGAAUCGUUUUUGCUUUAAGUUAAUUACGCGCUUCCAAAAAAAAUGAGACUUAGCGGUACUGAAUGUACCUAAUAUUAUAUUAGUUGACGUACAUGUCAGUUUUACG